Molecule: non-coding RNA, 24 nt
Filed under: Arabidopsis thaliana (thale cress)
Lineage: Eukaryota; Viridiplantae; Streptophyta; Magnoliopsida; Brassicales; Brassicaceae
Source: RNAcentral
CACAACUCUCACUCGACCACCGCC